CUACGGGUCGCUGCAGUGAGGAAUUUUGCACAAUGGGGGGAACCCUGAUGCAGCAACGCCGCGUGGAGGAUGACGCAUUUCGGUGUGUAAACUCCUUUUAUAUGUCAAGAAAAUGACGGUAGCAUAUGAAUAAGCACCGGCUAACUCCGUGCCAGCAGCCGCGGUAAUACGGAGGGUGCAAGCGUUACUCGGAAUCACUGGGCGUAAAGGACGCGUAGGCGGGUUGGAAAGUCAGGUGUGAAAUCCUACAGCUUAACUGUAGAACUGCACUUGAAACUUCUAAUCUAGAGUAUGGGAGGGGGAGAUGGAAUUAGUGGUGUAGGGGUAAAAUCCGUAGAUAUCACUAGGAAUACCUAAAGCGAAGGCGAUCUCCUGGAACAUUACUGACGCUAAGGCGUGAAAGCGUGGGGAGCAAACAGGAUUAGAUACCCUUGUAGUC
RNAcentral lists this ribosomal RNA (439 nucleotides) under uncultured bacterium. RNAcentral describes it as "partial 16S ribosomal RNA". It matches the Rfam family "Bacterial small subunit ribosomal RNA", at positions 339 to 795 of the family's 1533-position model. The record is from RNAcentral.